Molecule: long non-coding RNA, 629 nt
Organism: Amphiprion ocellaris (clown anemonefish)
Lineage: Eukaryota; Metazoa; Chordata; Actinopteri; Pomacentridae
Source: Ensembl
GCGCUGCACUCGUUCUUUUCCAUGCUACCUGUAAACGUAUCGUUAGCUCUCUAUAUGAGGCCGGGAAACGGGAUCCAGACCUGCCUGGGGGAUUUUCCAGCGUAGUAGUGUCUGAAACUUUGAUUUGUUGUAAUAGAGGGAGACAGACGUAGCGUUAGCUCUCUGUGAGGCCAGGAAACGGGAUCCAGACCUGGGGGAUUUUCCAGCGUAGUGUCUGAAACUUUUAUUUGUUGUAAUAUCCCGGACUGUGUGACGUGUCUCGGUUUGAGGAGGGAGCUGUGUCUGCCGCUCUGCGCUGGUUUCUACCGCCAGGAGUGACCGUGGCCGUGGACUGCCAUCGUGGAUUUUCCGUUCUCAUGCAGGAUUUGAAUCGCCGAACUUCUACGUCAGUAAGAUCUUUCCUUCAGCCAGGAAGGCCAAGCUGAGGAGGAGGAUGGCAGUUUUUCCCAGAAGCAUCCAGUACCACAUCUGACCCUGCAAACCUACAUGGACACAAAUGGAUGGAGAUUGGGCUUUUAGUUACAUAAAAUCCCUUCAGAAGUAGAGCUGCAGGAACAUACACAGAAAUGAAAUGCAGCAGAGUCAGAGGGAGUGAAAAAGAAUGUAGACUUAAUAAAAGACUGCACUAU